This 224-nucleotide RNase P RNA is filed under the name Salmonella enterica. RNAcentral describes it as "partial RNase P RNA component class A". It matches the Rfam family "Bacterial RNase P class A", at positions 1 to 199 of the family's 367-position model. From Rfam's summary of the family: Ribonuclease P (RNase P) is a ubiquitous endoribonuclease, found in archaea, bacteria and eukarya as well as chloroplasts and mitochondria. Its best characterised activity is the generation of mature 5'-ends of tRNAs by cleaving the 5'-leader elements of precursor-tRNAs. Lineage: Bacteria; Pseudomonadati; Pseudomonadota; Gammaproteobacteria; Enterobacterales; Enterobacteriaceae. The record is from RNAcentral.
GAAGCUGACCAGACAGUCGCCGCUUCGUCGUCGUCCUCCUUCGGGGGAGACGGGCGGAGGGGAGGAAAGUCCGGGCUCCAUAGGGCAGGGUGCCAGGUAACGCCUGGGGGGGAAGCCCACGACCAGUGCAACAGAGAGCAAACCGCCGAUGGCCCACGCACAUGGGAUCAGGUAAGGGUGAAAGGGUGCGGUAAGAGCGCACCGCGCGGCUGGUAACAGUCCGU